CCCCUUGACAAGGAUGGAAGAUGCCCUUGGUCCUAACAACACACACAUGGUUAAGGCAUUACCAUCUACUUUGUGGUGUUUAGAAUUAAUUUGAA
Molecule: non-coding RNA, 95 nt
Filed under: Mus pahari (shrew mouse)
Lineage: Eukaryota; Metazoa; Chordata; Mammalia; Rodentia; Muridae
Source: RNAcentral